CGUAGGUGGCGAGCGUUAUCCGGAAUUAUUGGGCGUAAAGAGCGCGCAGGUGGUUGAUUAAGUCUGAUGUGAAAGCCCACGGCUUAACCGUGGAGGGUCAUUGGAAACUGGUCGACUUGAGUGCAGAAGAGGGAAGUGGAAUUCCAUGUGUAGCGGUGAAAUGCGUAGAGAUUGGGAGGAACACCAGUGGCGAAGGCGACUUACUGGGCCGUAACUGACGCUGAUGCGCGAAAGCGUGGGGAGCGAACAGGAUUAGAUACCCU
RNAcentral lists this ribosomal RNA (263 nucleotides) under uncultured prokaryote. Its description in RNAcentral is "partial 16S ribosomal RNA". It matches the Rfam family "Bacterial small subunit ribosomal RNA", at positions 526 to 788 of the family's 1533-position model. The record is from RNAcentral.